AGGUAAUGAUCUGACUGAACUUAAAAAUGCUUUCGGGUUGUCUAAUGAGUUCAUAAAAUCCCUUGGGAGAAACUAUAAGGCUAAUGUGAUUAGUGAUGGGAACUUUUCCAGCACAUGUCUACAAGAGACCAAACUAUUAGCCUCAUGCUCCUAUGAGAGUCACACAAAAUGGGGUGAAGAGGUAGGCUUCUUGUACCUAUCUGUGACAGAAGAUGUCUUCACAGGGUACAUGUUACACUGCAAAGGUUGGAUAUCUGUCUACCUAAAUCCACUGAGGCCACAAUUUUUGGGUACUUGGGUCACAAAUUUAAAUGAUCUAUUAAUUCAAGGCACAAGAUGGAGUUCAGGGUUGGUUGAUAUUGGUAUCUCAAGGUUCUUCCCUCUUAGAUAUGCCACAUUGAGAAUGUCUUUUCUUGAAAGCAUAUGCUAUGCAGAAAUUUCACUUUUCCCACUGUUUUAUUCCCUGACUUUAUGGUGUUUUGCUAUUAUCCCUCAGCUUGGUCUGCUGAGCGGCAUCUCUUUGUACCCUGAGGUUUCCAAUUCAUUCUUCCCUAUAUUUGCAACUAUUUUCCUGUCGGCCAUUUCCAAGCAUUUAUACGAGGUCCUCAUUUCUGGGGGAUCAAUCCAAACGUGGAGAAAUGAGCAAAGAAUAUGGAUGAUGAAGUCAGUUUCAAGUCACGUAUAUGGAAGUUUGGAUGCGAUUAUGAAAAAGCUAGGUGUGAGGGAAGCAAGUUUCUUGCCUACCAACAAGGUUGAAGAUGAUGAAAACUCUAGGCUCUA
This 780-nucleotide unclassified non-coding RNA is filed under the name Hevea brasiliensis (rubber tree). The record is from RNAcentral. Lineage: Eukaryota; Viridiplantae; Streptophyta; Magnoliopsida; Malpighiales; Euphorbiaceae.